Molecule: long non-coding RNA, 1760 nt
Organism: Cyprinus carpio carpio
Lineage: Eukaryota; Metazoa; Chordata; Actinopteri; Cypriniformes; Cyprinidae
Source: Ensembl
AUGAGGCUAACUCAAUUGACUUCAUGCUUUCUGUUGACUUUUAGUGUAAUUGUACAGGCGUCCAGCUUCAGCUGCUGCUUCUGGUGUCAGAUCUUGAGUGAUUUUGAUCAAGUAAAGAGUCUCAAAUCUGAUCAUCAGGAUCUUUUGAGGAGCGUUUGUUUCCAGAAGCUUUACUUUCACUGCUCCUCAGCGGAGGAAUGAUCUUCACAAGCCUCCAGAACAUCUCACAUCUUCUGAGGAGCCUUUAUUUCUUCAUCUCUCAAUCACUGCAUUAUAUGUUUGGAUCAUUUACAUCUCAUCUCACUGAGACACAUUACUGGAGAUAUAGAGUGUAGUAUCUGCUGUACUGUUAUAAAGAUCUCAUUGAUUUACAUUAUAAUCAGAAUUUCACCUUACAUUUCUGUCCAUUUAAAUAUUAUAACUGCACCACAUUUUCAGUUUGAGUCUCUGGAUAAAAUUAUGUAUACAUGCUUUCUCUCUCUCUCUCUCUCUCUCUCUAAAUAUACAAAAGUUCACUUUUUUCUAUUAUUUUAUAUGUCAGGUUUUACAGAGUUGAGAAUAUUAAUUUAUGUCGUAUAAUUCUAGUGUCUAGUCUUUUUGUGAAUGUGGUAUAUCUAAAGUGUUUUAUUAGACAGAAUGUAGAAAUCUGCAUGUACUGCAGUAUCUGAUUGACUGAUCGAUCAGGAUGCAAUAUCUCUCCGUGAUCAUUAAUGUUUAUCAGCGAUUGGCCACCCACUCAGACUCUCACAAACACAGCAGGACGAGUCUCAGCUGUGAGUAAAACUACAUUCAGACUCGUUACCUUCCUGCUGUCACUCACAAACCACUGACCCCAGUCUGAGUCACACACACACACACACACACACACACACACACACACACACACACACACACACACACACACACACACACACACACACACACACACACACACACACACACACACAUACAUUUCAGCACAUGCUCCAAUACCUGCGUUCACAGUUCCAACAAUAAAAACGUUCAGUUUAGACAAACAAAUUUCUGCAUUCAUUUCUCAGCUGAUGGUUUAAACUGAUGAUCAGAUUUAGUGUCUGAUUAUCUUACAUAUAAUCAUGUCGUUAGAUAUGCUCAGUGUGCACCAGUGUUGGAGAAGCUACUGUGAAACGUUUUGCUAAACUACAAGCUUUCCAUAUUGAAGUAACUAAAAUAUAAUUACUAAUUGUACUACUAACAAUUUUAGUACUGCUUUAAUACUACUUCUACUACUACUACUAAAAAAAUAUUCCAGCAAGUAAUAUAAUCAGUCUUUCACUUGCCGGUCAACUUGGUACAUUUUUAUAGCAUGACUAUAACAGGUGUGUAUGUAUGAUUUCGGCCAUGUUUUAUCAUUUUUAUUAUUUAUUUUCAUUUCUAGGACAUGUUUUACCGAACUAGAAGUGAAAAUUAUAACUAUCUGUUUCUAAAAAUCUGCCCCCACAACGAGAAUCUUAAAUAAAGGAAGAAGAAGAAAAAAAAAAAGAAAAUAAAAAAAUAAAUUGCAGAAAUGAAUGAAAAUUCUAAAAUUGCUAAAAUGAACAUAAUUUCAACACUGCUUGAGGAAAUAAAAAUAUAUAAAUUCUGUUUGAUUGUUCCCACAUCUCAAACCUAAAGCUAUAUGUAUGAUAUGACAAUGGUUAUGUAAUAAUUUGAGAUGCAGCAAUGAUAUUUGUUGGAUGAAAAAGCUGGAAAACCAGGAAAAGUACAUAACUAUUUUAGUUAGUUACUCUCCAACAUUUUUU